RNAcentral lists this transfer RNA (156 nucleotides) under Candidatus Woesearchaeota archaeon. Its description in RNAcentral is "tRNA-Gly". Lineage: Archaea; Nanobdellati; Candidatus Woesearchaeota. The record is from RNAcentral.
GCGUCGGUGGUCUAAUGGCUACGACUGGUUACGCUCGGUCGACACGCAAGGUGUGGCAUAAAGCCACACGAGCUCGUCUGACGACUCGCAACCAGUUGCCGUAAAUGACAACGGCCUUCCAAGCCGUUUAUCCGGGUUCGAAUCCCGGCCGACGCA